CCCUUAGAUGUUCUGGGCCGCACGCGCGCUACACUGAUUCAUGCAACAAGUUUUGUCCUUGGCUGAUAGGCCUGGGUAAUCUUUGAACGCGAAUCGUGAUGGGGAUAGAUGAUUGCAAUUAUUCAUCUUCAACGAGGAAUUCCUAGUAAACGCAAGUCAUCAGCUUGCAUUGAUUACGUCCCUGCCCUUUGUACACACCGCCCGUCGCACCUACCGAUUGAAUGGUCCGGUGAAGCCUCCGGAUUGGCGCGCACCUCGGUGCCGCCGAGAAGUUGGCUAAACCUUACCAUUUAGAGGAAGGUGAANUCGUANCA
RNAcentral lists this ribosomal RNA (314 nucleotides) under uncultured eukaryote. RNAcentral describes it as "partial 18S ribosomal RNA". It matches the Rfam family "Eukaryotic small subunit ribosomal RNA", at positions 1470 to 1796 of the family's 1831-position model. The record is from RNAcentral.